This 396-nucleotide unclassified non-coding RNA is filed under the name soil metagenome. Its description in RNAcentral is "partial contains 5.8S ribosomal RNA, internal transcribed spacer 2, and large subunit ribosomal RNA". The stretch from base 1 to 122 matches the Rfam family "5.8S ribosomal RNA", at positions 35 to 154 of the family's 154-position model. The record is from RNAcentral.
GAUGAAGAACGUAGCGAAAUGCGAUACUUGGUGUGAAUUGCAGAAUCCCGUGAACCAUCGAGUCUUUGAACGCAAGUUGCGCCCGAAGCCAUUUGGUUGAGGGCACGUCUGCCUGGGCGUCACAUAUCGUUGCCCGAUGCCUAUUGCACUGUGAUAGGAAAUUCUAGGGCGAAAGAUGGCUUCCCGUGAGCGUUGUUGCCUCGCGGUUGGUUGAAAAUUGAGUCCUUGGUAGGGUGUGCCAUGAUAGAUGGUGGUCGAGUUUGCACGAGACCGAUCAUGUGUGCGCUCCCCAAAAUAUGGACUCUUUGACCCCACACGCGACUUUUGACGCUCAUGACGAGACCUCAGGUCAGGCGGGGCUACCCGCUGAGUUUAAGCAUAUCAAUAAGCGGAGGA